CAAUAGCGUAUAUUAAAGUUGUUGCAGUUAAAAAGCUCGUAGUUGGAUUUCGGGGCAGCCUGGCUGGUCCGCCGCAAGGCGAGUACUGGUCAGCCGCCCUUCCUCUCGAAAGCCCCGACUGCUCUUCGUUGCAGUGGUCGGGUAGUUCGGGACGUUUACUUUGAAAAAAUUAGAGUGUUCAAGGCAGGCCUACGCCUGAAUACAUUAGCAUGGAAUAAUGGAAGAGGACCUCGGUCCUAUUUUGUUGGUUUCCAGGGCCGAAGUAAUGAUUAAGAGGGACAGUUGGGGGCAUUCGUAUUUAAUUGUCAGAGGUGAAAUUCUCGGAUUUAUGAAAGACGAACAACUGCGAAAGCAUUUGCCAAGGACGACCCCAUUAA
This 377-nucleotide ribosomal RNA is filed under the name uncultured eukaryote. RNAcentral describes it as "partial 18S ribosomal RNA". It matches the Rfam family "Eukaryotic small subunit ribosomal RNA", at positions 592 to 976 of the family's 1831-position model. The record is from RNAcentral.